UGCGUGUCAAAUACAAAUCUAAACUAUGCGAUUUCAUCUUUUAAAUGUUGGCAUUUUGUAGAUUUAUGGAAGUAAAGAGUCUGCAGCAAAGUUUGUAGAGGUUAAAUGAGGAAUUUUAUAAAAUGAGGUAUAAGCAGUAUAUUUAGAAAGGGUAUUUUCUAAGUGACACUGCUUGUUUUUGGUCUUAAUUAGAAUUAGAAUUUUUUAUGUGCUACAGAUUCUUCAUACUACAAGUCAGUGAUGUGGAACAUGUCAUACUACGAAUACAGAUACAAUGGAAAACGGAGCAAGUAUAAAUAAUGUUUCUUUGGAAGACAACGAAAUGAGUGUUGAUAAUUUUUCACCCAGAGUCAGCCAAAGUUCUAGUUUGAUAUUGAGUAAUACUUUUCAAACUGAGCGGAGUAACUUCCCACUGAGAGCAGAGAUACACAGUGGCAAUAAAUAUUCGAGAAUUAUAAUGGCUA
Non-coding RNA from Zootermopsis nevadensis, 464 nucleotides. The record is from RefSeq and is a predicted model, not a curated record. NCBI's taxonomy places the organism in Eukaryota, Metazoa, Arthropoda, Insecta, Blattodea, Termopsidae.